Magnolia sinica is the source of this 2893-nucleotide long non-coding RNA. RefSeq lists it as uncharacterized. Lineage: Eukaryota; Viridiplantae; Streptophyta; Magnoliopsida; Magnoliales; Magnoliaceae. The transcript has 6 exons. The record is from RefSeq and is a predicted model, not a curated record.
GGUUGUUAUUCUGUUCCUGUAGAAACAAAAGGAUGUUUCUGGUUUAGUUCAUUGCUAGAGGUGUUCAAGAUCAAUCGACUAGCACUGCUUGUUGAAGACUGACAACAGAAUUUUAGGUUUCAUUGAAUCCUAGUUCAUGUACACCACCAGUUCAUGUGUCCCAAAUGGCCAGGAAAUCAGGCAGCUCUGCUAGCCAUGUGGGCCACAAUGAUAAUCAGGUGGGAUAGCUUGACCAUACAUGCUUGAAGUUCCUCUUUAAAUGAAUUUUUACUAUUAUUAUUACUGUUUGUGCAUGACAUAAUGACUUUUACUUCAAAUGCCCUAUUUCAAAUUGAGCUUCUACUUCAAGGUGACCAUUUCAAAUUGAACAAAAAAUGGCUUUUAAUACCUGAGCCAGUUGCACUCCAAAAUCUAGUUUUAAUUCCUUGUUUGAGAAUUACGUUUUUCCUCUACUUUUUCUGGAGCUAAACCUCAACCAGAAGUAUAUAGUUGAAUACUGAUUUAUGGUUAGUUUUGGCUCCUUAUUUGGGCUUCUAGAUCUUACUCACACCAUUCAUUUCUAUCAGUUCCCCAGCUGCUUGAGCAUAUGCGAGUAUCCAUAGAUCUUCAUUUUAUUGGUCUUUAUAGUAAAAAUGAAAUUAGUGAUUGGUGUUAGUCCAUUGGAUCAAUCCUUUCCUUGUUCUAAUGUUGAAUCGUAACAAGGUGUGAUUUCAUAUAAACAGAUGGAUUGAUGGAAAAAUAUGUAUUGUUUCCUUUUCAUAUUGAUGGAAAAAUAUGCAAGUCUUGUUGAACCCAACCAGCCAACCUAGUUUUUUGCUUGGGGCAUGUAAGUAUCUGACAUCUGAUACUUGGAUGCAAUCUACUAACUCCAUGCAUUUUGAAGUUCAAUUGUGAUAAUAUUAGGAUGUGAUACUGUUUUAUCUGUGAUACUAAUAAAAGAAAUCAUGAUGUGAUACUGAUAAGCUAUUCCAAUAUUUAUCUGUGAUAUGGCUGCUAGCAUAUUUGAUUUUACUAAAUUGAAUUAAGGGGUAUUUUUGUUUUUUGUUCCAUUGUUGUUGUCAUCUUGCACAUCAAAUAGCUAGCAUCCUUUUACAGAUUUUUAAUACGGCCUUGUAUUUACAUUCAAUGUUAUAGGCAAAGUUAAAGGAGUCUCAGUAUCACAGUAUAGAGGUGCUACAAGAUCCUGGUAGGAAUCUAACUCUCUUUGGAGAGAGAGAGAGAGAGAGAGAGAGAGAGAGAGAGAGAGAGAGAGAGAGGGCAUGAAUGAUAAUGAUAAUGAUAACAAUAACUAGUUGGGUUUCUCACUCUCUCCUCACAUGAACAUGGAUGCAUCUACAGACCCACAUUAACAUCAUCAUCAUUACCACCAUCGUCAGUAACAUCAUCAUCAGUAUCAUCAAACACAAGCUACAGCUGUUAUUUCUCUUGUAGUUCCAACCAGCUUCUUUCUAGCUCCUCAGAUGGAAACACAAGGUGGGGCCCUUUACUCCUAGUUGUCUGUAAUGCCACUGAAAUCUGAUGGCUCCCUUUGUAUCAUGGAGGCUCUUACAAGAUCACAGCAAGGUGAAGGAGUGAUGCCAACUUCCUCUCCCAAGCUUGAAGAUUUCCUGGGUGGUGCAACCAUGGGAGCCCACCAUUACGGAUCCAUUGAUAGGGAAGCUAUGUCUCUAAGCUUAGAAAACAUGUAUUACCAACACAACCUAGGCCAUGGGAACUUAUGGAUGGAUUUAAGCAAUUUUCCAGAGUUGAAGAGCCCAGAGUUAUCAGAGAGCAGCCUUUAUAGUUACAUCCACCAAUACAUCCAGUCAUUGUAGAGGGAAGCCAGGUUGGACAUGAUUGAAGGAAUAAAUGAGAAGAUUCGAAAAUGUUUCAAAAAUCCAAAAUUAUCAAAUAUAACCUAGCCUGCUGCUUUAUGUUGAUCUGCAAACCAAUGACCUAUGGAGUUCAUCAUUUGAAGAUCCAGUUCUCCAAAAGGCUCUUGAAACGAAAUGGAGCCAAGUUCUAUCCACAAUGAAGCAUGUCCAUAUCAAGCAAGCAUCAGAAGAAAAAUAUGAAGGUAGCCGCCACUUUACUGAGAUGCACCUACAACUUUUACCGAGAGAGCUCAUGUGGAACACUUCCAUCAGGUAUUAACCUGUAUACUGUACCAUCUCAUUUAACAACAGAAGGACCAUGACAACCAUCUAAGGACAAUGUCGACUACCUUGUUUUGAGCACCUCGAGGAAGCUUCUCUUAUGGGCAUACACGCUGGUGCAUGGUCGUUACUCAAACAUUCUAGCAGUUGUAAAGCAUUGCAAAGAAAAUACGAAGUUUGCCAGAGUUGAAGAGCCCAGAGUUAUCAAGGAUGUGCACAGGAUUAACAGCAGGCAGUUCCCGUGUCAAACGGCAGGCAACAACAUUCUCUAGGCCUUCUCCAGCCCUUUAGGCAGCUGAUUCCAGCCCAACAGCAAUAGCAGUAGCAGUAGCACCAAUACUUCCAGCCACUACAGGAGGGGAUAUGCACAGGAUUAACAGCUCAUGACAUGUACCAGACUGCCUUGGAAGUGGCACCGAAGGAAGCCCAGAUCCCUCUAAUGCGGCAGAUGGAAUACCAGGCCUGAAGAAAUGGUGGAAGAGAUCGCUUGGGUUGUGGGGGAUAGAUGAGAAGACAUUGAAGAGGAGGAUUUGCAGUAGAUGUCAUAUCUAAAGGCAGAGUGAUCAUUUUAGAAAAGAGCAAGGAAUUGUUGGAUUAUAGAAGCCUGAAAAUGAUAUGUUGUAUUGAAAUUGGAAUUGAAAUUGAAAUGUAUACUAGAAAAGAAGGAAAAGAUUAUUAUGUGUGUAAAUCAUUCUAUUGUCUUUUUCUUCUAUUUGUAUAAUUAUUUGGCAUAUAAUACAAGUAGAUUACAUACCCCA